RNAcentral lists this long non-coding RNA (249 nucleotides) under Carica papaya (papaya). RNAcentral describes it as "long non-coding RNA (CPAP_LNC001769)". The record is from RNAcentral. Lineage: Eukaryota; Viridiplantae; Streptophyta; Magnoliopsida; Brassicales; Caricaceae.
UUUGGGUCCAUCAUGGGUGGAACUGGAUCCUGUGGAAGAGGGAUUGGAUUGUGCUGGAGAGGGAUCGGAUGGCCCUGUGGUGGUAUUGGAUGAUAUGUUGGAGGCACCAGAUUAUACUGUAAUGGUGCCGGUGAUAUUGUGGAGGAGCAAAAUUGUACCAGGGUUGCUCAGAUCCUUCUACUACAGGGGUGACUCAAACUAUAGCAGCGGGAGAGGGUUAGGUAGCUCCCUCAUUCCUCCCAAGUCUGC